AGAGUUUGAUCAUGGCUCAGAGCGAACGCUGGCGGCAGGCUUAACACAUGCAAGUCGAGCGGGCGUAGCAAUACGUCAGCGGCAGACGGGUGAGUAACGCGUGGGAACGUACCUUUUGGUUCGGAACAACCCAGGGAAACUUGGACUAAUACCGGAUAAGCCCUAACGGGGAAAGAUUUAUCGCCGAAAGAUCGGCCCGCGUCUGAUUAGCUAGUUGGUGAGGUAAUGGCUCACCAAGGCGACGAUCAGUAGCUGGUCUGAGAGGAUGAUCAGCCACAUUGGGACUGAGACACGGCCCAAACUCCUACGGGAGGCAGCAGUGGGGAAUAUUGGACAAUGGGCGCAAGCCUGAUCCAGCCAUGCCGCGUGAGUGAUGAAGGCCCUAGGGUUGUAAAGCUCUUUUGUGCGGGAAGAUAAUGACGGUACCGCAAGAAUAAGCCCCGGCUAACUUCGUGCCAGCAGCCGCGGUAAUACGAAGGGGGCUAGCGUUGCUCGGAAUCACUGGGCGUAAAGGGUGCGUAGGCGGGUCUUUAAGUCAGGGGUGAAAUCCUGGAGCUCAACUCCAGAACUGCCUUUGAUACUGAAGAUCUUGAGUUCGGGAGAGGUGAGUGGAACUGCGAGUGUAGAGGUGAAAUUCGUAGAUAUUCGCAAGAACACCAGUGGCGAAGGCGGCUCACUGGCCCGAUACUGACGCUGAGGCACGAAAGCGUGGGGAGCAAACAGGAUUAGAUACCCUGGUAGUCCACGCCGUAAACGAUGAAUGCCAGCCGUUAGUGGGUUUACUCACUAGUGGCGCAGCUAACGCUUUAAGCAUUCCGCCUGGGGAGUACGGUCGCAAGAUUAAAACUCAAGGAAUUGACAGGGGCCCGCACAAGCGGUGGAGCAUGUGGUUUAAUUCGACGCAACGCGCAGAACCUUACCAGCCCUUGACAUCCCGGUCGCGGACUCCAGAGACGGAGUUCUUCAG
RNAcentral lists this ribosomal RNA (967 nucleotides) under uncultured bacterium. RNAcentral describes it as "bacterial SSU rRNA". It matches the Rfam family "Bacterial small subunit ribosomal RNA", at positions 8 to 1019 of the family's 1533-position model. The record is from RNAcentral.